RNAcentral lists this long non-coding RNA (6808 nucleotides) under Ananas comosus (pineapple). RNAcentral's name for it is "long non-coding RNA (ACOM_LNC006661)". Lineage: Eukaryota; Viridiplantae; Streptophyta; Magnoliopsida; Poales; Bromeliaceae. The record is from RNAcentral.
AUACAGCUCCUCGUAAACAUAUCGAAUAGCAAAUAUAUCCCUGCAAAGUUCAAAUUGUUAGAUUUAUUCCUUCAAAAGUCUGGUGAUGUUCAUAUUUGUCCCUCUGGUUUGUUUCCGUCAGCUCACUAUUUAUUUUUUAACAGAAGAUAAGUUAAAUGUCAAUUUUGUCAUCACGUCCAUCUGAAAAACCCUAAUAGUUAGAAUCGUACAGAAAUGUCCUUCCAAAAAAAUUUCAAUAGUCAUCUUCUUCCUCUAUAAAAGCUAACACAUUCCACUAUUAUUGCAAUCUCUUUUCUACCUCUUCUCUCACUCCUUUACUCCUUUAUCUAUCUAAUACUGAUACCCGGCGCUCGACAUGAGGGAAAUAAUGGAUGAAUGGGGACGGAGAAAUCCUAGUUACGGAUUCGAAACUAGCAUAAAGGAGAGGGACGAAGAGGAAGAAGAAUUUCCAUUGUUAGGUUUUUGAUCGAGCUAGGGUUAUGAUCAGGAGAAGAAGGUAUAAUAUCAUAGAGGUAAAAAGGUCAAUUUACCUUACUCACUAACCAAGGUUAAGUAUUUUAUCUAUAGUUAACUACGCUUUUCUAACAGACACUAAUAUAUUUGAAACCGUUAGGACUUUUUGAGGGAUAAAUUUGAAAAAAUAAAUUUUGUAGGGAUAUAUUUGCUAUUCAAUGUGUUUACAGGGAACUGUAUGAAAUUAUCCCAAGUUUUUAACGGUGUAUACUCAAUUAACUAACUCUAUUUACAAUACUAAAAGACUUGCGCAGCAUUUAUUAAAUAGAAUUAGACAUAAACAUGUGUAGAAUUGUUAUUUCCAAAGAAUCCAAACCCCCCUUUUUCUAAUUUGCAGUAAAACCUUGCAUUGUUUAGUAAAUGCCGAAGCAUUUCCUAAUUAUUAUGAGCACUUUUGACUGUUUCAGGGUCGGGAGAAACUCGGGGACAGACCACUCUUUGUACUUGUGGAAGCAGCGUGAGCAAUGCUCAUUUAAUUUUAUUGUUUGUUGAGUUACUUCCGUCGGAUAAUAUAUGCCAAAACAUUUCCCGAAAGCUAGGUCAAAAGAAACAACCAUCGUCAAUUGGCUAAUUCUCCACUUGGGAACAAUAAUGUAAGCUCCCUGUUCAAAUUUGUCUGGGGUCUUUUCGUAUUACAUUACUACGUCGUGUAAACUAUUAUUUAUAAGUUGAAAUAAGGGAAGAAUUUUAUGUGUUGUCUAUCUUUGGACUGCUCCGUUGUUCCUUUUUUCCAUUUAGAGUAGUAGUGGUUUCGCUUACAGGAUGUCAAUUCUUUUAUAAUUGGUAGUUCAAUUGGGCAUGUUGGGUACCGUCCUCACUCUUGGUUAGUUAUAUUUUCUUGACAGGAAAUAAAGAUUGUUGCUAAGCGACAUUUGGAUCAAGUACUUUGUGAUUGUGCAUGUAACAAACUGUGCUGGACUGGUCGUCCAUCUUGAAUGGCUAGCAUGGUUCCUGCCGCAGGUUCACUUAAGAGUGUUUGGUUGCAUGUAGUCGCAACUAAUCACAAUGUAGUCGCAACUGCUUGGAAAUUUAAAUUCGCUAUUUGAUUUUAUGCAUUUAAAUCCAACUAUCAUAGUUGAAACUAUAUUUAAAUUAGCCACAGCUCCAAAAAUAGUUCUAUAAAGUAAAACCUCCCUAAUAAUUUUCUAAUAAAAAAUAAUUAUUUUCUAUAUAAAAAAUAAUCUCACCAUCCUAUAUAUAUAUAAAAUAAUUAAAUUUUACAAAUGCACUCGUAAGUCACAUAUUAGCAUCAAAGUAUUGUUUAUAGUUGCUAUACUUUUUAUAAUACCCAACCAAAAAUAAUGUAUGUAAUUAUAAUUAUUGUAUUUUUAAUUAUAUACAUCUGGAAUUAUACUGAAUGUAUUAUUAUAUUUAACUAAAUGGUCCCUUAUGUGGAGGCAAGUAUAAAGGAAUUAAAAUAAUGCAGUGUUUAUUAUCCAUAAAAGAGAUCCUCAGAGAGCUUAAUUUAUCUACAAAUGAAUUUUAACACAAUACAUAAACUGUACAGUUGUCAUCAAUAUUACUACCUAAUACAACUGCCGUAUAACUCCAACCUCCUUUUUUCUGAUGUUAUUUGGUACAUACAACAAGAAACAGUAGUGCACAAGAUUAAAUCAACCCUACUCUCCGAUUCAUGGAAAGAAUCACUUAAUCAGCUUACACAAAACCUCCCUCUAUUUCUAACUCUAGAAAAAAUGAAAACGAAGGAAAAACAAAAAAAAAAAACGAAAAGAAAAAAAAAGGAACAGUGGUAGAGCACAUGGAAGAUGGUGUGGAUGCUACCAGCUAUGCAACUCAGGAUCCUCGAAAACUUUGAAUUGCUGUCGUGCAGUGACCAUUAAUAUUUAUGAGAGAAUCGAUUUCAAAGUUCCUUAGCAUGAGGCUUAGGCAAUGCACAGGGGUGAGGAUUUCCAUCAGUUGAAUUGAUACCGUUGAGAACAAUUGAUUCAGAGCUAGUUUUAGCUGAUGUGAUGCACUUUGAAUGUGGAGAAAGCAUAGUAGUAACUAUUUCGGCAUUGGAUGGCGGUGAAGUACACACUGCUGCUAGCUUUGAAGUCUCACUAUAAGAGUGGUUUGUUUUACUGUUAAAAGAGACAAAAUUAAUAUGGUUAGAUGAAUUACCAAAUGCAAGAAUAGGAACAUUUUUCUCGUAAUUAAUAAACCAACAUAGGUUAGUUAAAAAGAAAUUAGUGUCCAAAGUUGGAUCCCAAUUUCAGUAACAUCCUGACAAGUUUCAUCAGUUUUCUCAAUUUAGUCCUCAGAGCUUCGUCCAACAGACUUUUUGCAAAGGACCAAACUUCGGUUGUCAGAGGCUAAGUUGCUGAUAUUAAAACUCUUGAGGACCAUUUAUAUCGGGAUCAAACUUUACGAACUCAACUCAUAAUUAAGCCUAUUCACUAGCAACAAGAGAAAUUACUAGUGGUUACCCAUUGGCAGACGGUUUUCCUCUCACACACGAGUCGCUUUUAGAGGACUUUGUUUUGUCUCUAGGGUUACAUGUAGGAUCCUGUCCAGUAAUUGGAGAUAUAGGUUUAAAUAUACUUGGAGCUGCAAAAUUUGAAACAAUCUAAGAUUGAAUUGGAUAAUAUAACCCUUACAAUGAGCUUAAUCCCUGCAAACGAGUGUAUUGAACCAUGGAGGUUGUAGUGAUGUGAGUUCCGAAUAAACGGAUGGUCCAAUAGCAUGGUUGCUGUUGGCCUAUCCACAGGAUUCCUACGAAAGCAGCGCCGGAGAAAGUCCUUUCCCUCAGAGGAUAAUCUGUCAGGUAUUGGUGGGUCUUUGUGCAAAACCCUGAACAUAGCUGCAGCCUAGGACAAAUCAAAUUUAAAAAGGAAUAAGAAUUUUAGUGCUCACAACACAAACAAGCCAAGCGCUUGCAGCAGAUGAUAUUUCCUACAUAUAUAUUAAUAAACGGAGCCGAUCACAAUUGUAGUCCUCAGAAGUUGAAAAGUUUAAAAUAGGGUUUAUUUUCGAUUAAUUAUGGGUUAUAAUUGGGCUUAUUAACUGAAUCUUGAAAAUACCCCUCAGCAGUUUGAAACAUCAGAAAUACCCCUGUAAACUAGAUAUUCUUGAAUGAUUUGUUCUAAUUUUGACGGUACCCCUAAGUUUGAAAGUGUUGAAUAUAUCGCUCGCAAGGUUGGGAUACCUCUGUUACAUGCUUAUUCUUUCAUGAAUGCCCUUUACAGAGGACACUUAUUAAAAUCAAGCACAUUUUUAGGGCCUUUAUGAUACUCCGAGAGCAUUUCUUCAAGUAUUUUCAGUGGGUUUUUAUACUACCUUCAACUUUUGAUGGGCAUGCAUGAAAAUAUGAGUCAGUAGUAUACGUGCUUUUUUCCAUAAAUUAUCCUACAUCUCAAGCCAGAAGGAAAAACAGUAUUACCCCUUCAAGGCCACUCCAUGGAUGUUUUCCAGUGAACAUUUCAAUGAUGGUACAUCCCAAACUCCAAAUGUCUACAGCAAGAUCAUAACCAGCAUCUUUCUUCAUUGUAGCCUGUACAACCUGCAAUAGAGAAAAGCAGAGAGUGCAAGAGUUAUCAAGGAUGCAACGGCAACAAGUGUUGAUAUGAGUUGAGAAUUUAGUGGGUUAAAAUGCAAGUUUAAAGCCCCAGUUAUAUUGUGAUAAGCAUAUUAACCUUUCCUUGAGGUAAAGUGCAAGGUCUUCUAACAAACCGAGGGGUUAUUUGUAGACUUUGAUUAUUGAAAAAGGUAGAGUGCAUAUUGCAACAUAUCCAGGGAUUUUUCUUCAGCUAAGCCAAUUCGGAACCAGAGAAUAAAGAACCUGAGAGUUCAGAUAAAAUGUACCUCGGGAGCCAUCCAAUAUGGUGUUCCCUUCAAUGAAAGAUUGGGUGCAGCAUCACUCAACUGCAGGAACAAAAAGAAAAGGGUCGUACAAAUAUGUUAGUCAUUCUAUUUUUCUGGUCACAAAUGGUGAGCUACUAAUGGAAAAUCUCUAACAACAAAUUACUUAAUCCAAUAAUUUAGAUAUAGAAACCUGGCAGGUUUCUGCAUAGAAAUCUCUACUUUGAGAGGCAAAUUACUGUCCUGAAAUGAGGAUUACCAAUUAUUGUGGAGUGAGUUCUUGCUUAUGAGAUUCGUGUAGGUAAAGUUGAAUUAACAUACCCACAUACACAAAGAGGACAGUCCUUCAUCUAAGAAUUACAUAAAGCUAUAAAAAAGCCAACACUCACAUGUUUCGCCAUCCCAAAAUCAGCCAACUUGACAACACCAUUUGCAUCCACAAGUAAAUUGGCUCCUUUAAUAUCCCUGCCAGAAGCAUUUACCUUUUUAGGGUACGAAAAUUCAAGUUUGACCUCAAUAUUAUGAACAGAAAGUCCUUUUACGAUACAAACACACAAAGAGAUGCACAUCCACACAAAUAUUCUCUCCCUCCAUUCUCUCUCCCUCCCUCCCUCCUCUCUCUCUCUCACACACACACAUACGCAUUACGAUACAAACACACAAAGAGAUGCACAUACACACAAAUGCACUCUCCCUCCCUCCAUCACACACACACAAGAAGGGACAAACAUCUCUCUCUAGAAAGGCUAUCGUACAUAUAGGACAAAGAACAAAAGAAAAGAUGCAAGCUAAUUAUUUCUGCUCAAAUCUGGAAUAAAGGUACGUACCGAUGCAUUAUCUUCUUGCUAUGCAAGUAAGUCAGUCCAUUAAGAAUAUGACGAGUGAAAUUACGAACCACUGAUUCUGUCAUAGCUCCACAAUGUUGACGGACGUAUUUGUUGAUUGAACCAGGAUGAACAUACUCCAAGUAUAUGUGAAAACGAUCAUCAAUCUGCAAGCAUAGAAUAAUUAAAUCCAUUAAAUUGCAUUUACAAUAACUUCAAGAGUUCCAAAUAUAAAUCCAUUAAAUUGCAUUUGCAAUAACUUAAAAGAGUUCCAAAUAAAAAAAAAAAACAGUAAAGAAAGCUCACAAUUUCACUCCCAUAAUAUUGCACUAUAUUUUGAUGCUUGAAUUGACUAAGAAAUUUUAUUUCCUGCAAAAAGGCAAAAGAAUUGAUUAAACCCACUCUUCAAGCAGCAAUAAAAGAUGAAUCGUUAUUCACAAUCAUUACAAGAAAAAAGAGGAAAACAUUUAAACAGUAAAGUGAUUCAACAAAUAACCGAAAAGUCAAGAAAGUACAUCUUCUCUAUUUGUAGCAACAUCUUUCCAAUUCAUGUCACCUCCAGAAAAUAACUAGUCUUAAAUAUAUUGAGUUACUAUUCAUCUUGGAUUCAAAGUAAACUGACUGUGAUCUUCACCAGAAUGUGACUCUUGGAUGACAAAAAGAACUAACCUGCUCUAACUGCUUCAAACAUUCUGCAGAUUUGGAGUCGUCCGCAAUAAUAUUGACUUCCUUCAUUGCACACAAAGCUCCAGUUUGCCUACAAAAAAGACAAUAAUAUUAAAAAAAAAAAAAGUAAUGGUUCAAUCAAAAAGAGACCAGUGCAACCCUGCAACUUUGUCUAGUCACACGUAUACUGUUGUGAAAUUGAGAUUUCAUAUAGCUAUUUGACUUAAUUUAAAUACAACAAUUACCUUUUCUCCCAAAAAAAAAAAAAAAAAAAAAAAAAACAACAACAACAACAACAACAGAUACCCAUCUUCACAAAACCCAACUUUCCCCAUGAAUUGGAUGACUCCCCAUCUUACGGGUAUUUGUGAAAGCAGCUACAUUAUUGAGGGUUACACAUAUCAUAUCAUUCAGAUUUUGCAGGCUUACCUAUGUAGACCAAUGAUAUUGCAGGUGUACAUAUAGAAAAGCCCCAAUUAAACAAAAAAAGAGAAAAAAAUGAGAACAGCCAUCAAGCAGGACAUACCUAUUGGUGGCAACGUAAACAUUCCCAAAUGUACCACUCCCAAUAAGUUUCCCUUUUUGCCACUGACCGGUCAUUGGAGAAGCCUCAGCUUUCAAUGCACUUCGAUGAGCAGCAGGGGAAUGCAAAGGAACUGCGGCUCCAGGAGGGAGAGGCAGUGGGUGAACAUUAGCACUCCCAUUACUGUCAUGCCGCAAAACAGAAUUAUCUGGAAACAUUUUAGAAUGGACUGGUGAUGGGGGAGCACUCGAAUCGCUUGAUCUCCAUAUUGUAUUCUUUGUUGUUGGACUGUAACGGGCCGAACGGCCAGAAUUACUGAAAAUUCUUUCAGGUGAAGUUUGGCACGAGAGAGUAGUUGUUGUUGAAUCCAUGGAAGGGAUUGCCGGAGCUGACCAAAUAUUAAGUCCGUUACUUGAUCUUCGAGGGCUCCGAACUGGGCUUGCAAGCCCACUGGUUGGAGCACUUUUUGCAGGUAUAUUCAAUU